Molecule: long non-coding RNA, 944 nt
Organism: Fukomys damarensis (Damara mole-rat)
Lineage: Eukaryota; Metazoa; Chordata; Mammalia; Rodentia; Bathyergidae
Exons: 2
Source: RefSeq, a predicted model, not a curated record
AGGAUGGCAGAACAAAAGAUGAAGACAUCAGCACUGUGGCUGGAGGCGAAUCUGAAGAGAUCUACCCCUCCUGAUGGAAGCACAAUAGACAGGCCUGAAAGCCUCCCUGAAGAUAAAAAGUGGUUAGUGCCACCUGCUUCAGUAAGCCAGAUAGGUAUCAGUUGCACAAAUGGGUGGCCAGAGUAUCUGUGCCCAGUUUUUUCCAAGAAUGCCUUUUUUCUUUCCAUAUUUCAUUUCUCCAGUGAAUCAGUAUUACCUGUGACUAUACUUGUAAUACUACAGGUUGAUUAUAGUUAGAUCCACAUUGUAUCCAUGUUGUGAUUUUGCUAUAUAAAAUAUUCUUGACCAAAACCUCAGUGGCCACCCACUUGGGACCCUCUUGGAACUCCAGGAGCUAUUCUUAUCUUUAUUUCUAGUAAAAGUCUCCUAACUUCUUCCCUUAGUUCUUGACUUCAUUCCACUUUGUUGUGAGACUCUGCGCAUCUGACAUCUAAUAGGUUGGGAGUUAUCUUCCCUCUCAUACUCUUCUGUCUUCCAUAAUUAUGUGAUAAUAUAAUUGCAUUGUUCUAAGCCACUGAGUUUGUGAUAAUUUGUUUUGGCAGCAAUAGGUAACCAACUCAGAGCUCACAGAAAAGACCAGGCCAGCCUCCCUUCAGAACAGACCAACAAGCAUACAGAAGGGACCAUGUGGAUGAACUCUAAAAGGCAGAGAGAGUAUUUGUCUGAAAAAUAUUGGCUUUUGGAGAGAUGUUUUAAACCCAAAACAAGCAUAAAAUUCUCUUAAUGGCCAAGUGUAAAGUUUUUUUUUUUUUCUUCUGUUACUUGUUUGGAGGAUUCUCACAGAAAAAAAAAAAAGCAGCAAUAGAAUUAAAUUCAGAAGAGAUAUUUUGACUUUUCUGAGCAGAGUCGCUGAGUCAACUUCCCAGGCAGUACAGGAUAAAUGG